AGCCAUAUAUACAUGCUUAUUAGACUAUGAACCAUACAUUUACUUUUUACUGCUUAUGAGCAUUGAGUGUGGUCAAGCUGUGUAGACCCUUAGGAGCUUGUCAUGCGGUUAAAAUAAAGAUCCACUUGCACAUUCACUCAUACAUGCUACUUCUACUCCGGAAGUACGCAUCCACAUACAUCCACUCAAUUCCAUCUCCAGAUUCACCUAAAAUUAUUCUACUCCUAAUCCGGGAGGGAAUAGCCAAAAACAUUCUCCUAUUUCUGUUUUUCCCUAUGAAAUAAAUGCUUGAGUUAUCUUGGUUACUACCACUUGCUAUAUUAUUUCAGGAGAUGAGUGCUCUAAAAAAGAAGAGAAAAAAAUGAGGAAAUAAAAAGGGGCAAGUGCCCGAAACCUCGAAGAAAAGAAAAAGUGAGACGAGAGGUAAAAAUGGACAAGUGUGUGACAGUAGAAUUAGGGGUACAAGAUACCCACCUGAGAGAAAUGAAAAAGAAAAUAUAGACCAUCUCAUUCUCCUCAAAAAGUUUCAAAGUGCAAGAAAGGUAUGUAACCCCUUAAAAGAGCAAAAGUAGAAUUAGACUUUCACCAUUAUUAUCACCAUACACCAUUCAUUCACCACACAUGCACAUCUUGAUUUGACUUAUUGACUUGUUUCUCUGGAUCCAUGGUUUGACUAUGCAAUAAAUGUCUUGUAAGUAUGUAUGCUUUAUCUCCCACCUAUGAGCUCGAGAUAUCAAGCCUUAUUAGAGUAGAGUGAGAGAGAAGGCAAUAUCACUAUGCCUCAUACAUACCACAUACUUUGAGAGAAGGCAUAUACCAUUAUUGCCUUGGAAAGGAUCCACUAAUACCACAAA
RNAcentral lists this long non-coding RNA (854 nucleotides) under Sorghum bicolor (sorghum). RNAcentral's name for it is "long non-coding RNA (SBIC_LNC008339)". Lineage: Eukaryota; Viridiplantae; Streptophyta; Magnoliopsida; Poales; Poaceae. The record is from RNAcentral.